Long non-coding RNA from Xiphophorus couchianus (Monterrey platyfish), 1628 nucleotides. RefSeq lists it as uncharacterized. The transcript is spliced from 2 exons. Lineage: Eukaryota; Metazoa; Chordata; Actinopteri; Cyprinodontiformes; Poeciliidae. The record is from RefSeq and is a predicted model, not a curated record.
AAAUUUCCCUUUAAACAAAGCUAACUGUUAGCACAGUGAAAGCAUCUCCAUUAUGCUAACUCAGCUAGCUAGCUUGGACCCGGACUUCAUUCAGCAGCUGCAGUGCUAAUAUUCGCUAGUAGAUAAACUAAAAUAACAGCAGGUUAAGAAAAAAAUGCAGUUUUUGCAAAAUUACGCUUGAAUAAAAUGCUUUUGCUUUCUCAUUCCAAGUUUAAACAUCAACUUUUUUGGACUUCUUGUAGCAUUUUCCUGUGAUCCAGACAAUGCUAAUGCUAACUUAGAGAGCAACACUAUUAAGAUGAGGAGAUUUAAUGUCUACAACUGACUAAGACUUUAUCUAUUCAUCACUAAGGAUGCCACUCCAAUUUCGUUAUAUUCUAGAGACACGAUGACAAAUAAAAUAAUCUUAUGUCUCAUUUCUUAGUUUUAUUUAUGUCUUGGUCCUAAACAACACAAGAGGUAAAAUAAUUUGUCAGAAGUGGGAGUUCUAAACCACCACCUCUUCAAUUUUCUGUAGCAGCUAGCUGUGCUAGCCUGUUAAAAUUAGCUUCAUAUGAACAACAGGAGCAGAUUCAGUUUCACCAGUGUUGUUUUUUUCCCAUGUGUAAUCUCAGAAAUUAUGCUACAGCAAAUAUCUUUUCAGUUGAAGUCUUUACAGUAUAUGAAACUGAAAGCAAUUUUUCUAACUUUCUCCCACAGGUAGCUGUGCUGUUGAGCCAACGCUAGCCAGUACAUAAACAUAGAUAAGAAGCAGAUAUUUUUCUUUUUCACGUUUGCAUUUCUGACAUUGUCUAAUAAGAGUCGAACUACUUUUAAUGUAUUUUUUUUGCAACUGUUCUGUAGCAGCUAGCGGUCCUGUAAUGCUAAUGUUAGCUUGACGCAAGCGGACACUGCAGGUAGUUAUUUUUAUUCAUGCAUGUCUUGAUGGUACUCCAACUGCAUUCAAAAAAUACAGAUUUCUGAAAAUCCUAAAUGGUUUUCAAACCUUUAUAUAUUUUUUUAUACAUAAAAGUUUUUUUGUUUUUUUUAAAUGUGUAUUCAGCACCAAACGCAAUGCAGAAACCAGUUUUUUGCUGCAAUAGCUGAAAACACAGCAUAAUACUAUAAUGCAGAAUGAACAACAUUUCUAAUGUUGUUCAUUCUGCACCAGAAAGGGUCAAGGCACAUAAAUCCAUCUGCUAACCGCAGUAAAAACGGCAAGAAAUGACGGAUGAUCCCUUCUGCCUGUUCAUCUGAAGCAAUGCAGCCUCCUGCCUGCCGCAGAAAGCGGAUUGAUUUGCUGCGGCGGACGUUGCAUGUUGCAGGGAGACGCAACACCGGCCGGCGGCUUUCAGCACCUUGCAGGCGUGGACCAGAACAAAAGAGGCAGCAGCAGCAGCGGCGGCACCGGAUCCCAACCGGUUCAAAGAUUUUUAAAAGCUCCGUGUUAGACAGAGAACAGAUUUAGAGAUGCGAACUAACAAAUCACAUCUGAUGAUGGAUCCACAUAGCUGCACAUGACGCAAAUGCAGCAACAUUACUCCACACUGCUGCUUCACAAACUUUUCCACCUCCCAGACAGCGCCGCGCUGCAAAGCGCCAAACUCCCAACAGCCACAGGUUUGUAAAAAAUGUCUUCGUUCUGAUUU